RNAcentral lists this ribosomal RNA (466 nucleotides) under uncultured bacterium. Its description in RNAcentral is "bacterial SSU rRNA". It matches the Rfam family "Bacterial small subunit ribosomal RNA", at positions 917 to 1382 of the family's 1533-position model. The record is from RNAcentral.
GGGCCCGCACAAGCGGUGGAGCAUGUGGUUCAAUUCGACGCAACGCGAAGAACCUUACCUGGGCUCGAACGGCUUCAGACAAUCUCUGGAAACAGGGACUUCUCGCAAGAGACUGGAGUCGAGGUGCUGCAUGGCUGUCGUCAGCUCGUGUCGUGAGAUGUUGGGUUAAGUCCCGCAACGAGCGCAACCCUUGUCCUGUGUUGCCACUCCGCAAGGAAGCACUCUCAGGAGACCGCCAGCGAUAAGCUGGAGGAAGGUGGGGAUGAUGUCAAGUCAUCAUGGCCUUUAUGUCCAGGGCUACACACGUGCUACAAUGGGCGGUACAAAGCGCUGCAAACCCGCGAGGGGGAGCUAAUCGCAAAAAACCGUUCUCAGUUCGGAUUGCAGGCUGCAACUCGCCUGCAUGAAGCUGGAAUCGCUAGUAAUGGCGUAUCAGAAUGAUGCCGUGAAUACGUUCCCGGGCCUU